GGGGAUAUAGCUCAGUUGAUAGAGUGCUUGCCUUGCAUACACCAAACCCUGGGUUCAAUUCCCAGCACCACCA
Molecule: transfer RNA, 73 nt
Filed under: Ictidomys tridecemlineatus (thirteen-lined ground squirrel)
Lineage: Eukaryota; Metazoa; Chordata; Mammalia; Rodentia; Sciuridae
Description: Spermophilus tridecemlineatus (thirteen-lined ground squirrel) tRNA
Rfam family: tRNA
About the family: Transfer RNA (tRNA) molecules are approximately 80 nucleotides in length. Their secondary structure includes four short double-helical elements and three loops (D, anti-codon, and T loops). Further hydrogen bonds mediate the characteristic L-shaped molecular structure. tRNAs have two regions of fundamental functional importance: the anti-codon, which is responsible for specific mRNA codon recognition, and the 3' end, to which the tRNAs corresponding amino acid is attached (by aminoacyl-tRNA synthetases). tRNAs cope with the degeneracy of the genetic code in two manners: having more than one tRNA (with a specific anti-codon) for a particular amino acid; and 'wobble' base-pairing, i.e. permitting non-standard base-pairing at the 3rd anti-codon position.
Source: Rfam by way of RNAcentral